This 303-nucleotide long non-coding RNA is filed under the name Trifolium pratense (red clover). Its description in RNAcentral is "long non-coding RNA (TPRA_LNC004862)". The record is from RNAcentral. Lineage: Eukaryota; Viridiplantae; Streptophyta; Magnoliopsida; Fabales; Fabaceae.
UUAUGCAUAUUUUAGUGCUAUUAAGCAUGAGGAGAAGAACGCUAAGUGCAUUGUUGUGAUGAACCAUAAUCCUGAGGUGUUUAUUAAUAUAAUUUAUUAUCAAUUUCAUAAAUCAACUAAACCAAAACUCAUAAUAAAUCUAAUAUUUAAAUCUUAGCUAAUUAACAUGGGUAGCUAAAAUCAUCAAAAUUAAACCACGAUAGAACUGUGUGCUUAUGGUUUUGCUAUCACUUAGCAAGUGAAUGUUAUUGGAAAUCCUUAAUAGGUUGUUUUGUUCUAAACCAUAUUUUAUUUAACCACCAA